CUUGUGUCUAUAAAAUGAGCUGCUCGUUAUGUGUAGAUAAUCCUUUCUACUGCAGCUUUUUUGAAAGAUAUAAUGUUAGCCAUGGAGAACUGCAAAUAUGUUGCUACUGCUCUCAAUAACAUUGCUGCCCUGAAUAUAUCAGGUGCUACCAGAAAAAAUUCAGUGGGGAAAAGUUCUGAUGGACAGCUUUCUGGAGGAUGAUUGUGCCAUGCUGACUCUCUCUGACUCUGAAAAUGAAUCAGACGAUGAGGAAAUCCUUGAUUUGGGUAAAAACAUUUUCAUUGAAGAAGACAUUGUAGAGUCUUCUGAUGACAGUGAUGGGGAAGAAACGGUGAUCAACAGUGUUGUUGUCCCGGAAGAAGUUGACAGAGUUUUGAAAUCAGUGGAAUGUCUGUGCAAACUAAACGGAAACAACACAGGAAAUCUUAUUUUAUGAAAUGGGUUGCAGUCUGCCAUGAAGCUUUCAUCCAUGUAUACAGCAUCAGUAGAACAUGCGUGACUCUCCUCCACCAGUCAUACAAGAUGAAUGGUCCUAUGCCUCCCAUCAAAAAGAGAGCUUGCCCAGGCAAGCACAGGUUACACCUGAAGCAUGACGAGUUGCAGCGAGUGGUGAACUUCAUCAACAACUAUGCAGAGGAUAAUGCAAUAGGAUGCCACCCAGGACACAAACACUUAGGUGGAAAGCUGCUGCCAUCCCAUGUGACAAAAGCAGCAGUGUGGAGUUUCUACAAUUAAUCAAUGCCAGCACUUGUGAUGAAUCUGAGAAGAAAAUUACUGCCCACAUCUCAAGCACUAAGAUCAGGACAGACCUGUGCUGGCAGUGCCAGGAGGAACAACCAUCAGGUCUUAAGAUCUGCCAAUCUGCCAGAAGCUGUUAAGUCAGCCAAAGUGAAGAAGCAAGAGCAGCAUCUCCUGCUUGUUCAGAGUGCACUAUCCUUCUGACCCUAUGCAGCCCACGUCCCAUCUACUGUUUAACUCCUUGCAAGUGUGGCUUGUUUGGUGUCUGCUGUGAAGGAAUACCACAGCAAACAACUACAGGAUUGAUGAAGGCUUUUCAUCCAGCAAAGGCAACAGCACAGUCAUCAACUACAUGCACCAUUUCUUUACCAACUACGGAGUUGAGGAAACACAUGUGGACCUGGAUUGAUUGUGAUAACAGCAGUGACCAAAACAAGAACAAGUUUGUGCUCGUGUAUUGUGCGGACCAUGCACAGUCUAGACCAAGUCCACACCAAGUUUGCCCCCGACUGUUGCUCCAGCCUCAUCAAGCAGGGCUUCAGAAAGACCAGAGUGAACACUUGUUCUGAGAUUGCUGGUGUUGUGAAGGACAGCACUAUGACAGGGGUCAACAUCCCACAGCUGGUUGGACUGGAGGAUGGUACGGUGCUGGUGGAAAGCUAUGGCUGGCAUCAACACCUGACUCCGUACUUCAGGCCGCUGCCACAGAUCAAGCAGUACCAGCACUUCAGCUUUUAAGCUCUGGAGCCUUGGUGUUGUUGCUUCCAAAGAGUGUUCGGACUCAGUCAGGAACAGAUUUCAACUGCUGUGCAACACUGACAUGCUUCCUCCAUAGAUGGUCGGCCUGUACAAGCACCACCUGGACUGGACACAGCUAGAAAAGCGUAUAUUUUUCAGAAGAUCAGGGAGUUUUGCAGCGAAGAGGCUAUGGACUUCACAUGCCCUGCACCAAAGUUAAGGGCAGGACAGAAACAGGCUCUCUGAAUGUAGAUUACCUUGUUCAUGUGUGGUUCAGAAGGACCAGUCAUCAGCAAUAUCUGCAAUGCCUCUAUUCAAGUGACUCUCUCCAAACACAUAUGGCUGCUACUAUUUUUUUGAUCCUGCUGCUCAGCCAAUUUACCCCAGAUUGUAUGCAAAUAACAACCUCGUCUAUCACUGAUAUCGUUAUUGAUAUUGUUCUUGUUCCUACUGUACAUUUUAUUUAUAUUGACUCUAUCUCUGAUAUUGCUACUAUGCACGUAACCAUUUGGCUGUACCGUUUACACUUUCUAUUGAGACCCAUCUACUUAGCAAGAUGUGGCCAGUGGUGUAAAAGUACUUAAGUAAAAAUACUUUAAAGUACUAAAGUAUUUUUUGCGGGUAUCUGUACUUUACUAUUUAUAUUUUUGGCAACUUUUACUUCACUUUAAAGAAAAUAACGUAUUUUUUACUCCAUACAUUUUUCUUGACACCCAAAAAUUCAAAAAUUACAUUUUGACAGGAAAAUUCACACACUAAUCAAGGGAACAUCCCUGGUCAUCCCUACUGCAUCUGAUCUGGCAGACUCACUAAACACAAAUGCUUUGUUUGUAAAUUAUGUCUGAUUGUUGGUGUGCCCCUGGCUUUCCUUCAAUAAAAACAUUUUUUUAAACAA
Oncorhynchus tshawytscha (Chinook salmon) is the source of this 2371-nucleotide long non-coding RNA. The record is from Ensembl. Lineage: Eukaryota; Metazoa; Chordata; Actinopteri; Salmoniformes; Salmonidae.